AUAAGUGUGUUUUACCUAAAAAAUCUUAUAUUUAGGAACAGAGGGAGUACUUAUCAGCUAGGGUAUCCACGUCCUUCAAUUUAAUCAGCCAAUCAUAAAGUUCUCUAACGCCACGUCACUCCUAUGAGUCGAGUAACUUAUAUGGGCUACAUGUUAAAUGGUUCAUCGUUAAUGAGCCCAAGAGAACUCAAAUCCUGUCACCGUCAUCCCAUUUCUUCCACUUCAUCUGAACUGAUUUGACUCACUGCAAAUUUCCGUUUUGUGUAUUAAUCACCAGAUUCACCACCCACUCCUACUCAUCAAAUAACAUUCUUGAAUCAUAUAUUCAAUUUUAUUCUUCACCCAAAUUCGUUUCUUUUUUUUAAAUCAAUGGAUUAGCAACGCAACCAAAAGCUACCCCUCGGCCGCGUGGAUCCCGAUACUGGUAACGACGGCUGAGCCAUAGAAACAGCCCAAUCAGGUUCAAAAUUGGAUCAACGUCCUUGAUCAUUUGAUAGAUAAGUUUACAGCAAUCAAAGCAUUGUAGCAAGUUAAGCCAAAAAAUAGUUCUUAUUUGAGACUUACGAUCUUUGCAAAAUUAAUCUUUUAUUGAUCUGCCUCUUCUACUUCUUCUGUGUAGGCUGGUUCUGAACAAGAAGAUAUUAGACAUACAAUUGCUAGAGAUGGCAUCUCGACAUGGCACUGGGAAGAAUGUCAAUCAACAGAACGUAAAUCAACGGAGAUCACCAGAUGAUGCUGAAAGGGAGGCUAGAGAAAUGGUGCUUAGUCAAAUAUUGUUUUCCCACUCUCUCGAGAGAAGUAAGU
This is a long non-coding RNA of Brassica napus (rape), 804 nucleotides long. RefSeq lists it as uncharacterized. The transcript has 3 exons. The record is from RefSeq and is a predicted model, not a curated record. Lineage: Eukaryota; Viridiplantae; Streptophyta; Magnoliopsida; Brassicales; Brassicaceae.